UCAAGUGACUAAGCGUGCACGGUGGAUGCCUUGGCAUCUGGAGGCGAUGAAAGACGUGGUAGCCUGCGAUAAGUUUCGGGGAGGUGGCAAACAACCUUUGAUCCGGAAAUCUCUGAAUGGGGAAACCCACCUGUCAUAAGGCAGGUAUCUGCAACUGAAUACAUAGGUUGUAGAGGCGAACCGGGAGAACUGAAACAUCUAAGUACCCCGAGGAAAAGAAAUCAACCGAGAUUCCCUUAGUAGCGGCGAGCGAACGGGGACCAGCCCUUAAGCUUCAAUGUAGUUAACAGAACGCUCUGGAAAGUGCGGCCAUAGUGGGUGAUAGCCCCGUAUGUGAAAACUUAUUUGAAGUGAAAUCGAGUAGGUCGGGACACGUGAUAUCCUGACUGAAUAUGGGGGGACCAUCCUCCAAGGCUAAAUACUCCCAGAUGACCGAUAGUGAACCAGUACCGUGAGGGAAAGGCGAAAAGAACCCCUGUGAGGGGAGUGAAAUAGAUCCUGAAACCGUGUACGUACAAGCAGUGGGAGCCGACUUUGUUCGGUGACUGCGUACCUUUUGUAUAAUGGGUCAGCGACUUAAUGUUAGUGGCAAGGUUAAGCUUAUAGCGGAGCCGUAGGGAAACCGAGUGUUAACUGCGCGUCCAGUCGCUAGCAUUAGACCCGAAACCGGGCGAUCUAUCCAUGAGCAGGUUGAAGGUUGAGUAACAUCAACUGGAGGACCGAACCCACUGUCGUUGAAAAGCCAGGGGAUGACUUGUGGAUCGGAGUGAAAGGCUAAUCAAGCCCGGAGAUAGCUGGUUCUCCUCGAAAACUAUUUAGGUAGUGCCUCGGACGAAUGCCACUGGGGGUAGAGCACUGUUAAGGCUAGGGGGUCAUCCCGACUUACCAACCCUUUGCAAACUCCGAAUACCAAUGAGAACUAUCCGGGAGACACACGGCGGGUGCUAACGUCCGUCGUGGAGAGGGAAACAACCCAGACCGCCAGCUAAGGUCCCAAAAUAUUGCUAAGUGGGAAACGAUGUGGGAAGGCACAGACAGCUAGGAGGUUGGCUUAGAAGCAGCCACCCUUUAAAGAAAGCGUAAUAGCUCACUAGUCGAGUCGGCCUGCGCGGAAGAUGUAACGGGGCUAAGCAAUAUACCGAAGCUGCGGCAGCACAGUUUACUGUGCUGGGUAGGGGAGCGUUGUGUAAGUGGAUGAAGGUGAGUUGUAAAGCUUGCUGGACAUAUCACAAGUGCGAAUGCUGACAUGAGUAACGAUAAUGGGAGUGAAAAACUCCCACGCCGGAAGACCAAGGUUUCCUGUCCCAUGCUAAUCAGGGCAGGGUAAGUCGGCCCCUAAGGCGAGGCAGAAAUGCGUAGUCGAUGGGAAACGGAUUAAUAUUUCCGUACUUAUAUAAUCAGUGAUGGAGGGACGGAGAAGGCUAGGCAAGCUUGGCGUUGGUUGUCCAAGUGAAAGUGCGUAGACCGAGAACUUAGGUAAAUCCGGGUUCUUAAAGUCGAGACACGAGACGAGCCACCAAGGUGGUGAAGUUGUUGAUGCCCUGCUUCCAGGAAAAGCUUCUAAACUUAUGAUUAUAUGAACCGUACCCCAAACCGACACAGGUGGUCAGGUAGAGAAUACUAAGGCGCUUGAGAGAACUCGGGUGAAGGAACUCGGCAAAAUUGUACCGUAACUUCGGGAGAAGGUACGCCUCUGUGUGUGAAGACUUCGCGUCGUAAGCACAUGGAGGCCGCAGUGACCAGGUGGCUGGGACUGUUUAUUAAAAACACAGCACUCUGCAAACUCGUAAGAGGACGUAUAGGGUGUGACACCUGCCCGGUGCCGGAAGGUUAAUUGAUGGGGUUAGUUUUCGGACGAAGCUCUUGAUCGAAGCCCCGGUAAACGGCGGCCGUAACUAUAACGGUCCUAAGGUAGCGAAAUUCCUUGUC
This 1929-nucleotide ribosomal RNA is filed under the name marine sediment metagenome. RNAcentral's name for it is "bacterial LSU rRNA". It matches the Rfam family "Bacterial large subunit ribosomal RNA", at positions 3 to 1973 of the family's 2925-position model. The record is from RNAcentral.